UAGGGAAUCUUCCACAAUGGACGCAAGUCUGAUGGAGCAACGCCGCGUGAGUGAAGAAGGUUUUCGGAUCGUAAAGCUCUGUUGUUGGUGAAGAAGGAUAGAGGCAGUAACUGGUCUUUAUUUGUCGGUAAUCACCCAGAAAGUCACGGCUAACUACGUGCCAGCAGCCGCGGUAAUACGUAGGUGGCAAGCGUUGUCCGGAUUUAUUGGGCGUAAAGCGAGCGCAGGCGGAAUGAUAAGUCUGAUGUGAAAGCCCACGGCUCAACCGGGGAACUGCAUCGGAAACUGUCAUUCUUGAGUGCAGAAGAGGAGAGUGGAAUUCCAUGUGUAGCGGUGGAAUGCGUAGAUAUAUGGAAGAACACCAGUGGCGAAGGCGGCUCUCUGGUCUGCAACUGACGCUGAGGCUCGAAAGAAUGGGUAGCGAACAGG
RNAcentral lists this ribosomal RNA (429 nucleotides) under bacterium. Its description in RNAcentral is "partial 16S ribosomal RNA". It matches the Rfam family "Bacterial small subunit ribosomal RNA", at positions 355 to 776 of the family's 1533-position model. The record is from RNAcentral.